GAUGAACGCUGGCGGCGUGCCUAAUACAUGCAAGUCGAGCGAACGGACGAGAAGCUUGCUUUUCUGAUGUUAGCGGCGGACGGGUGAGUAACACGUGGAUAACCUACCUAUAAGACUGGGAUAACUUCGGGAAACCGGAGCUAAUACCGGAUAAUAUUUUGAACCGCAUGGUUCAAAAGUGAAAGACGGUCUUGCUGUCACUUAUAGAUGGAUCCGCGCUGCAUUAGCUAGUUGGUAAGGUAACGGCUUACCAAGGCAACGAUGCAUAGCCGACCUGAGAGGGUGAUCGGCCACACUGGAACUGAGACACGGUCCAGACUCCUACGGGAGGCAGCAGUAGGGAAUCUUCCGCAAUGGGCGGAAGCCUGACGGAGCAACGCAGCGUGAGUGAUGAAGGUCUUCGGAUCGUAAAACGCUGUUAUUAGGGAAGAACAUAUGUGUAAGUAACUGUGCACAUCUUGACGGUACCUAAACAGAAAGCCACGGCUAACUACGU
This 496-nucleotide ribosomal RNA is filed under the name uncultured bacterium. Its description in RNAcentral is "partial 16S ribosomal RNA". It matches the Rfam family "Bacterial small subunit ribosomal RNA", at positions 28 to 506 of the family's 1533-position model. The record is from RNAcentral.